Molecule: long non-coding RNA, 2023 nt
Filed under: Patiria miniata (bat star)
Lineage: Eukaryota; Metazoa; Echinodermata; Asteroidea; Valvatida; Asterinidae
Description: uncharacterized LOC119722889
Source: RNAcentral
AUAAUUCUAUUUUAUUAUUGUGGCUGGUUCUUUGCAAGCUGUGUGUCGUUAUUGUAACAGUUAUCUCGCACGCAACUUUAUCGUCAAAUUCCAACAAGCAGCAAGUCGAGCAAAACAAAACUAUACCUUCAAAAAUGAAGAACCUUCUGUGUUUCCUUGUUGUUGUGAGUCUGGUGUCUGUCCUCGUCAGCGGUUACGAGAGGGAGGAAGACACAAAGCUGACCGAACUGCUGCGUGAAGUGAAGGACUAUCUGGAAGUCAAGGAGCUUUACAAGGACUUGGCAGAAAGCAUUGCUAAGAGGGGAAGGUGCUGUCCUGCUACUUAUUGUAACUCCGUUUGUAAUGGUGAAAACUGCUGUGAAAAGUAGGGUUUAUCCCCAGACUCCCACCGUGUCAAGGCAUCACUAGUGUGGAGGAUUCACCAUUGGUGUAUCUGCUCAUCAUUGCUAUUCAGUCUCAGCCAGAAAGAAUGAAACAAUAUCGUAAUUAGCCCUUGUGGCAUUUUAAUCAUCUUAUAUUAAUUGGGUAAAUGGGUAAUAUGUAAAAGCAUUAUUCUCUUGUCUGUAAUCUUUAAAGGGAAUGUACGUCAUUGGCUUUUGCUGUAAUUUUAGAAAUGAACUAUUUGGGGGGUUAGUAUAAUAGAUCAAAUAUUGUUACACUGACAUGUUUGAAGUUUUGGGUUCGAAAAUGCUAGAAAAACAAAGAAAAACAAAAAUAUUCAAGUAGUCUGGUUCCCUGACUCCACUAAAGAUGGAAUGGAUAAAACAUACCAGAAAAUUGUAAGGUAAGGGAACCAGUCUAGCUGGCCUGCACCCGUUCAUGAGCAUGGAACCAAUAGCUAGCAAAGCAAGACUAAAAAAAAAUGGUAAAUUUGGUGCAGUAAUUGAAAAAUAGUUAGGUUUUUCCAACGGUGGUCGGCCGACCAGCGUUGGAAAUGUAGACAAAUAUACCAUUUUUUUUUUAAAUGGCUUCACACCAGGUGCCAUAAUUUUACAGGAUGAUUAAGCAUGUCAUUUACCAACAUCCUAGUAAGGUAUUUCGUAACUACUUGGUAGUUUUAUUUUUCGAUGUUAGCAAAUGUUGUAUUUUCCCUUUAAAACUUUUUUCUGUAAUCUUCUUGCUUCCUAUCCGAGUAGUGGUAUUACAUUAUCGUUAUAUUUAAAUUGCAAAGAGAUUUAAAUUGGAAAGAGGUUCCUUUAAAAAGCGAGUAAGUCCCACCGCACAUGGGUCAUAAUUAAAUACCAAUCGGGUACGGGAUAUUAUUGGCUGUACCAUCAGGGGUAACAGUAUGUGGUGUGGUCAAGUUAACAGAAGAGGACGCAUAAUGAUGACAUUAUUGUACAUGAAGAUGAAUUUGUACCGAUUCAGUUCUGGGGGAGGGGGCGGGAAAGGCCUUACUAAAUUUCUCAAGAAUAACUUACUCAAAUACCGCUGGAUCUCGAAUAUCUUUGUAUAAUCUGAUAAAGUAACAUAACAGUGCAGUGGUAUAUAAUCGUUGCUUAAUACAUUUAAUAAAUCUUUGGUGAUGGUUGAUUUUAAUAAACUGAGCAAGGACUACAAACCUUCAUUUGGCGUGUGCUUAAAACAUACGUGUUGGACUUGAAAACCCAGCAAAGUCAAUUUUCAAAUGAAGCUGUCAAUGUUUCAUAACAUCGUCAGUAUUACGAGUUAUUUAAAUCUAUUUGAAACAAGAAAAGUGGUGUUUGAUGAUAGGAUUUGCUCUUCACCCAUUUUUGUUAACAGCUACGAAUUAAAAUCAAGUUUGCAAAAAUAUUUUGGCCUCAUCAAGUUUUCACAUAUAUUUAAUUAAGUGCUGAAUAUUUCAAAGGCAUUAUUGUAUUGUUCUUGAAACAUCACAGCUCCUUACUUUGAUAUGUCGUCGUGCAUAAUAAAGAACAGUUUAUGUAUAUCCUAAAAGAUAAUUGACGUCAGUUGCAAACAAAAUAUACAAAUCUAUACAUCUGCCGAUUUGUAAGGACGAACAGUACAAUAAAGCUGACGAAGCAGGUUAUUUACACAUUAA